RNAcentral lists this transfer RNA (85 nucleotides) under Coprinellus micaceus. It matches the Rfam family "tRNA". From Rfam's summary of the family: Transfer RNA (tRNA) molecules are approximately 80 nucleotides in length. Their secondary structure includes four short double-helical elements and three loops (D, anti-codon, and T loops). Further hydrogen bonds mediate the characteristic L-shaped molecular structure. tRNAs have two regions of fundamental functional importance: the anti-codon, which is responsible for specific mRNA codon recognition, and the 3' end, to which the tRNAs corresponding amino acid is attached (by aminoacyl-tRNA synthetases). tRNAs cope with the degeneracy of the genetic code in two manners: having more than one tRNA (with a specific anti-codon) for a particular amino acid; and 'wobble' base-pairing, i.e. permitting non-standard base-pairing at the 3rd anti-codon position. Lineage: Eukaryota; Fungi; Basidiomycota; Agaricomycetes; Agaricales; Psathyrellaceae. The record is from Rfam by way of RNAcentral.
GCCCGUAUAGCUCAGUUGGUAGAGCAUUGUACUUAUGCGGUUAAAUGAUAUGCAAGGGUCUCGAGUUCGACUCUCGGUAUGGGCA